AGUAGCCGCGGUAAUUCCAGCUCCAAUAGCGUAUAUUAAAGUUGUUGCAGUUAAAAAGCUCGUAGUUGAAUUUCGGGAUCAAAUUGUCGGUCGUGCUUCGGUACGAACUGGUAUUAUUGGUUCCUACCUUCUGACGAACCAUGAUGUCAUUAAUUUGGUGUCUUGGGGAAUCAGGACUGUUACUUUGAAAAAUUAGAGUGUUUAAAGCGGGCUCACGCUUGAAUACAUUAGCAUGGAAUAACGAAAUAGGACGUUUGAUUCUAUUUUGUUGGUUUCUAGGAUCGACGUAAUGAUUAAUAGGGAUAGUUGGGGGCAUUAGUAUUCAAUUGUCAGAGGUGAAAUUCUUGGAUUUAUUGAAGACUAACUACUGCGAAAGCAUUUGCCAAGGAUGUUUUCAUUAAUCAAGAACGAAAGUUAGGGGAUCGAAGACGAUCAGAUACCGUCGUAGUCUUAACCAUAAACUAUGCCGACUAGGGAUCGGAUGAUGUUAAUUUUUAAUGACUCAUUCGGCGCCUUACGG
RNAcentral lists this ribosomal RNA (520 nucleotides) under uncultured Glomus. RNAcentral's name for it is "SSU rRNA". It matches the Rfam family "Eukaryotic small subunit ribosomal RNA", at positions 569 to 1093 of the family's 1831-position model. Lineage: Eukaryota; Fungi; Glomeromycota; Glomeromycetes; Glomerales; Glomeraceae. The record is from RNAcentral.